AGAGUUUGAUUAUGGCUCAGGAUGAACGCUGGCGGUAUGCUUAACACAUGCAAGUCGAACGGAUGUCUUCGGACAUUAGUGGCGGACGGGUGAGUAACGCGUGAGAAUCUAGCUUCAGGUUGGGGACAACAGUUGGAAACGACUGCUAAUACCGAAUGUGCCGAAAGGUGAAAGAUUUAUUGCCUGAAGAAGAGCUCGCGUCUGAUUAGCUAGUUGGUGGGGUAAGAGCUUACCAAGGCGACGAUCGGUAGCUGGUCUGAGAGGACGAUCAGCCACACUGGGACUGAGACACGGCCCAGACUCCUACGGGAGGCAGCAGUGGGGAAUUUUCCGCAAUGGGCGAAAGCCUGACGGAGCAAUACCGCGUGAGGGAAGAAGGCUCUUGGGUUGUAAACCUCUUUUCUGAGGGAAGAAAAAAAUGACGGUACCUCAGGAAUCAGCAUCGGCUAACUCCGUGCCAGCAGCCGCGGUAAUACGGAGGAUGCAAGCGUUAUCCGGAAUGAUUGGGCGUAAAGCGUCCGCAGGUGGCAAUUCAAGUUUGCGGUUAAAGGCUCUGGCUCAACCAGAGACAGGCCGUGAAAACUGAAUAGCUAGAGUAUGGUAGGGGCAGAGGGAAUUCCCAGUGUAGCGGUGAAAUGCGUAGAGAUUGGGAAGAACACCGGUGGCGAAAGCGCUCUGCUAGGCCAAAACUGACACUGAGGGACGAAAGCUAGGGGAGCGAAUGGGAUUAGAUACCCCAGUAGUCCUAGCCGUNNNCGAUGGAUACUNNNUGUAGCUUGUAUCGACCCAAGCUGUGCCGUAGCUAACGCGUUAAGUAUCC
This 820-nucleotide ribosomal RNA is filed under the name uncultured bacterium. Its description in RNAcentral is "bacterial SSU rRNA". It matches the Rfam family "Bacterial small subunit ribosomal RNA", at positions 8 to 869 of the family's 1533-position model. The record is from RNAcentral.